UUGGGGUUGGAAUGGAACUUGGCACCGUUUUUUUACAUUUAUGUUUUUGGUGAGAUUAUUUUUAACAAAAAUAGCCAAAUCUUAUCAGUGUGGUGGUCAUCUUGGUUAGGAACAAACGUGGACAUCUUGCAGGUUGUUCUGACAGUUGCGAUAGGAUAGUGAUGUUACUGAGUUGGCAGAUCCUAUGACCUUAUAUUUCCCAUUUUUUUAUUGCCUCACCUUUCAAAAAUUUUUCGGCAGGAUUCUGUUUUUACGGAAUCCGAGAUUUUUGCAUAGUUUUAGUCAUAUUAGUAGUAAUAAAUCGGAAUAUAAAUCAAUCGCGAAAACGGCUAGUAGCUAUAUGAAAAAGUACUUAUCACAACCAAGUAUCGAUACCUGUGCGCAACGCCAUCUUGAAAGUGAUAGUGUCUUACGCCACACUUUCAAGAUGUAUAAUUGACCG
Molecule: long non-coding RNA, 442 nt
Filed under: Androctonus crassicauda
Lineage: Eukaryota; Metazoa; Arthropoda; Arachnida; Scorpiones; Buthidae
Source: RNAcentral